UGGGGAAUUUUGGACAAUGGGCGAAAGCCUGAUCCAGCAAUGCCGCGUGUGUGAAGAAGGCCUUCGGGUUGUAAAGCACUUUUGUCCGGAAAGAAAUCCUUGGCUCUAAUACAGUCGGGGGAUGACGGUACCGGAAGAAUAAGCACCGGCUAACUACGUGCCAGCAGCCGCGGUAAUACGUAGGGUGCAAGCGUUAAUCGGAAUUACUGGGCGUAAGCGUGCGCAGGCGGUUUGCUAAGACCGAUGUGAAAUCCCCGGGCUCAACCUGGGAACUGCAUUGGUGACUGGCAGGCUAGAGUAUGGCAGAGGGGGGUAGAAUUCCACGUGUAGCAGUGAAAUGCGUAGAGAUGUGGAGGAAUACCGAUGGCGAAGGCAGCCCCCUGGGCCAAUACUGACGCUCAUGCACGAAAGCGUGGGGAGCAAACAGGAUUAGAUACCCUGGUAGUCCACGCCCUAAACGAUGUCAACUAGUUGUUGGGGAUUCAUUCCUUAGUAACGUAGCUAACGCGUGAAGUUGACCGCCUGGGGAGUACGGUCGCAA
RNAcentral lists this ribosomal RNA (541 nucleotides) under uncultured bacterium. RNAcentral describes it as "partial 16S ribosomal RNA". It matches the Rfam family "Bacterial small subunit ribosomal RNA", at positions 355 to 891 of the family's 1533-position model. The record is from RNAcentral.